AUUGUGCUCAUUCUGCACGUCGAAUGACUCUAUUCGACAAUUCUCACCUCGGAGUCACAUGACUCUUCUCACUCGAUUCCGGUUGUCGACUCGAGUGAGGUGAGAGGUUCACUUUUGUAGCGAGAAACGAAAUGAACCAAAACAAAUGCGAUGUUCAUUCGCAGAACUGUCAAACCGGUGGCGCAUCAAGAAUACGCUUUGAUUAUGGCGUAUUAAAAAAACACAAUUUGUAUAUAUCGUUUUAUCUCGUCAAUUUGUAAUAUUUUCAUCUACUUACAUCAAGUUAUGACCUUAAACAAAAGUUGUAUGUAAUGAUUUAAAAUUAGAAAGCAUGAUAUAGUAGUUUAAAAUGUGUAUUUUUAACAUUUUGGUAACGCAAACAUAUCCAACGUUUGGCCCUUAUAUAAACAUGCCCGAUUUCUCUUGAGUUGAUUUUCCUCCUUCCAAAAAUUGAAAAAACUUCUUCAAACAAAAUAUUUUUUUUAAUCGUGGUUACGCGGAUUUUACGUCAAGCUGGAUUUGAAUCCGGAGACUGUUUCUUAGGUUUCCUCGGCGCAGUAAGGUAUGUUUUAAACCACUAGAAAGCAAUUUCUCCAACUCAUCCAAAACACAGUAAAAGUAUUGUGAUGUUUUUCAACUUCCACAGACCACCCCACAAUCCAUCGGUUCGGCAUCGAUAGCCGCAACGGCGGCUCUGGCAACGCAUUUUUGCUCAGCCACUUCCGUCGUCGUAUACACGGCUAGAACUAAGUUGACCAGUAGCAGUAGCUCGGUUAGCUACGUCGUCAUCAACUUUCGAGGACCUAUCCUACGACGGAGCAAGGGAAACUUGCGAACCAGUCAGCGACGCCUGCUGAAGGUGACCGAGAUUAAUUGUUCCUGU
This is a long non-coding RNA of Aedes albopictus (Asian tiger mosquito), 883 nucleotides long. RefSeq lists it as uncharacterized. The transcript has 2 exons. Lineage: Eukaryota; Metazoa; Arthropoda; Insecta; Diptera; Culicidae. The record is from RefSeq and is a predicted model, not a curated record.